This 116-nucleotide ribosomal RNA is filed under the name Escherichia coli. Lineage: Bacteria; Pseudomonadati; Pseudomonadota; Gammaproteobacteria; Enterobacterales; Enterobacteriaceae. The record is from RNAcentral. RNAcentral also lists the same sequence under 1 other name.
CCUGGCGGCAGUAGCGCGGUGGUCCCACCUGACCCCAUGCCGAACUCAGAAGUGAAACGCCGUAGCGCCGAUGGUAGUAUGGGGUCUCCCCAUGCGAGAGUAGGGAACUGCCAGGC